GACUACAGCUAAUAAGAUUUGUGAUUUCGCAGUUGUGCGUUGAGUUCAAAUUUAUCUUGACAUGGUGAAGGAUAGGAGCAGUAAAUAUGGAAUUUCACCAAACCGAAAUAAUGGCUCUGAUCAGCAAUAAUCAAAGUGGUACAGAAAACAACAUCCAACCUGAGAAAAAGACACUUGGAAGUUGCAUAAAUUGGACGCUUUUUAAACACCUUAUACUGCUAGUUUCUCUCGUAGCUAUUGGGAUUUGGCUCCAAACACCGUCAGACGCAUCAGAAGGCUUACGCAACUAUGAUGGAGUUCUUUGGGAAUUCUGCGGCUACGACCCCGUAGCGGGAACGCCCCGUGACUCCAUGUUCCCCGUCUACCAUCCGGAGAGUGCCACCGUGCCCCGAGGGGAGGCCCGUAGGACAAGAUUCAGGGAGAGAUUUAGCUUUCUUUGGACGGAGACGAUCGGGGCACCUAACUCUUUUCUCUGUGUUAUUGCAUCCUACUGCCUGUAAUACUAUAAAUGAACUAGUGGUUAAUCGACUCAUACUACGUCAUAAUACAAGGGACUGCAUGGCUGUGACGUCACAAUAACUGCUGACUUCACUUUCAUUGGGUGCAUGCCAUCUUUACCGGAAAAAAAACAGAAGACAAAAAUGAAAGGAGAAAAAA
Long non-coding RNA from Strongylocentrotus purpuratus (purple sea urchin), 657 nucleotides. RefSeq lists it as uncharacterized. The transcript has 3 exons. The record is from RefSeq and is a predicted model, not a curated record. Lineage: Eukaryota; Metazoa; Echinodermata; Echinoidea; Camarodonta; Strongylocentrotidae.